UUUAUUUUCUGUCCUUUUUCUUGUUUAAUGAGUAUAUCGUCCUAGUUCUUUUUGAAUGUGAGUGUAUAUUUUGUUUAAGUUUUCAGUUUUUUGUUUUUUAUGUGAUUUGAAUAGAUCUGAAGAAACUGAAGAGUUAGAGGGUGGUGCUUGUGCAUACAGACAAAUACAUAUUUAUGUUCGAUGUAUGGGUCGUGUUUACUGAAUUCAAUGUUGAUCUGCUCAGAUUCUGGUGGUUAUGGAGAAGAUCUAAAUUUUCUCAUCGUUUCGUAGUAUUGGAAACCCAAUUUCAGUUUUUUCUUUUUUUAAAUUAUCUUAGAAAUUAAGAUCUGUGAAUCGGGAAGAAGUUGGACAAACUGAUAGAUCUAGGUGAAUUAACGGAGAUGGAGACUUUAGUUGCUGUUGCUCAUCAUAGGAAUCAUCAUCAAUAUUAUGGUAGAAACUGUGGGCAGGGACCGGCUCGAUUUGGGUCCCUGCCUAGUGGUAAUUCUCAUGGGGGCGUCAAUUGCCGUGCUUUCCAGUCCGGUGCAGGGUUACUUCCAGACCUGCGUAAUUCUUGCACGACAACCCCUGUUACCGAAAGGGAGUUUUCCAAUUCAUUUUCACCCAAAACCCCGUCAACUUUUGUUAAUGAAGACCACAAAAGCUCGAAAAAGAACUCGAAAAGUAGUGUGAUUCCAAUCCCAAUUGAGAUCACGUUUGAUAACAAAGACGGGGGUUGUGAGGAUAAUUUUCAUUUCUCUGAACGUUGGGCUGGACCUGCUUAUUCUUGCUCACCUCCCCCGAGUUCUUUGCCCAUGCCGAAAUUUUCACUCCGGUCAAAAAGGGCGGUUUCACUUGACUUGCACACAGCAACCCCUGAAUUUGAUUUGCCGCCUAUGGCUAAAUCUGCUCCUGCUUCCCCAACCAGGGGGCAUAGUUUCUCAUCUACUGAUCUGUUUGAUACUGCUGACUCUGCGACUAAGACCCUUCGUCGCAUCCUCAAUCUUGAUAUCUCUGAUGAAUGAUGUGCUGGGAGCGGUCAGCGCUCCUGUGAAUAAGGGAACUGGUUUAGUUUGCAAAGUCAGUUAUUAGGAUAUGUAUAGAUAUAAUGAAUAAAGUACAUUUGCAGCACAACUUGCUUGUAGUGGUUUUGUUAGCUUUGCGGAAAUUGUAGUGAUGGUGGUGUGCAAGAGCUGUAAUGGCUGGUUGGUUGACUAUCUUUAGAUAUCUGAACAGUUGAUAUGGUGGUUUGCUUGGGCACAGUAGAAUUUCUUUUUUGUUUCUUGAACAUGGAUAUUAAUGAUGCAAAGGUACUGGAAGCAGAAGUGAUAAUUGAUGACUGGCAAUCCAUUGAAAUGGUGAUGGAUAGUCGGCAUGGUUACCAAAUUGACUACUUAAUCAUCUGUUCUGCUCAGAGGAGGCUGCAUUCUGUUUGAUCAUGACACAUUGAUUUCCAUACCUCGAGUUUAUCUUCCUUGUAGCAUUGUUCAUUCUGUUAACUUAUUUCCCCUCGUUUUCAGUUAAGAAUUAGAUUUUUAGUCAUAUACAAGUUGUACAUACUAUAUGAUCCUAAUCUGAUAAGUUUGAUAGGAUUUUGCCUCAUCUCUCUGUUAACCAAUUCUCCCAGCCUGAUAUUUGAUUUAGCCUCUUCUAUGAUUGCCUUUGUUCGCUUCAGUUUAAAUAUCAACAUACUGGGCUUCUUAUUUGUACCUUCGUUUAUGGAUGUCUGAAUUAGCUUGAUUUCAUUCAAUCUUCUUACCUCCUUUAUCCUGUUCACUUCUCUUCUUUUUUCUCUAGCUUUUCAAAUAGGAUCUGACUUGAGUCUUUGCUCUGCAAAGAUGUGGCUUUCCCUUUACCAUCUUUUCUGAUUUUUUAAAAAGAAAUAUGGGAAGGAAAGUAGAGAUAAAUGUGUCUCAGUUCUUCUCUUAGUUCUUAGGCUCGAUUCAUGUCGAGCUCUUCUUGCAAGCCCCCCCAUGUCUGUCCUUUGUUGCCCACUGUUGUUGGGAGGGGGUUUCUCCACCUCUCUUUUUAAAGCCAUUAGUCAUUGGAGAUUGUUGACCAUACCAAGCUGUUCACAGGUAAUUUUUUCUGGUUUUCACUGUCUUUUUAUGAUGAUAUUGUAUCAUGAAUGUCUUCACUAACGUUUUGUUUUACAUUUUACCAGUUCUGGCUACGAGCUAAUUGAAGAAGAAUCUGCAGGAGUUGUCUGCAAAGCUUGUCGUAUUAUUCUUGCACCGUACUUUUGGUUCUGUUUGUUAUAGUGAGUCUGUUGGGAAAUGUUACGCAUUUUGUUUCGUGGAUCUUCAGGAUGUUGGUUUUGCUCCGUUUACUUUGUUGUUUGAAACACCAUACUAGUCAUGGGCAAAGUCUCUAGUGUUUUAUAUUGUCUCGUCUCAAGUUUGUUGGAAAAUGUCGUUUUGGACAAAACUUGAAACACAUGAAGCUCUUAUUGUCAUUGCUUAUCUUUAUCUGUGCUUCCCCAACUACAUCUUAUCAAUUAAUCGAAUAUUGAGAAUUCUUUAUUCUAUUAUUGUAUGAAGGGGUUAUAUGUAAGUGAAUGCAUAGAUUUCAUGUUCUUGUGAUCAAUGGUUUUAAGGCAUGCAACCUCACCACAUGCCUAUAAUUUGAUAGUGUCCUGCUACAUGUAUAUUACCUUUGAC
RNAcentral lists this long non-coding RNA (2639 nucleotides) under Olea europaea subsp. europaea. Lineage: Eukaryota; Viridiplantae; Streptophyta; Magnoliopsida; Lamiales; Oleaceae. The record is from RNAcentral.